CCUACGGGUGGCAGCAGUGGGGAAUAUUGGACAAUGGGGGGAACCCUGAUCCAGCGACGCCGCGUGAGUGAAGAAGUAUUUCGGUAUGUAAAGCUCUAUCAGCAGGGAAGAAAGACAUGACGGUACCUGACUCAGAAGCCCCGGCUAACUACGUGCCAGCAGCCGCGGUAAUACGUAGGGGGCAAGCGUUAUCCGGAUUUACUGGGUGUAAAGGGGGCGUAGACGGUUACGCAAGUCUGGAGUGAAAGGCGGGGGCGCAACCCCCGGACUGCUUUGGAAACUGUAUAACUGGAGUGCAGGAGAGGUAAGUGGAAUUCCUAGUGUAGCGGUGAAAUGCGUAGAUAUUAGGAGGAACACCAGUGGCGAAGGCGGCUUACUGGACUGUAACUGACGUUGAGGCUCGAAAGCGUGGGGAGCAAACAGGAUUAGAUACCCCAGUAGUC
This 443-nucleotide ribosomal RNA is filed under the name uncultured bacterium. RNAcentral's name for it is "partial 16S ribosomal RNA". It matches the Rfam family "Bacterial small subunit ribosomal RNA", at positions 338 to 795 of the family's 1533-position model. The record is from RNAcentral.